Molecule: ribosomal RNA, 333 nt
Filed under: Triticum aestivum (bread wheat)
Lineage: Eukaryota; Viridiplantae; Streptophyta; Magnoliopsida; Poales; Poaceae
Description: partial small subunit ribosomal RNA
Source: RNAcentral
AUGUGCACUCCCUUCUUCUUUGCCGGAAUAAUGUCAUACUACUUCAUCUUACUUGUGGCCUAUGUUAUAUCUAUUGAUGACAGGGGCUGUUUGGUUUGUUACCACGUCCGCCCUGCCAAAUCCUGGGCGCUGUGUUGGCACGCCAAAAUAUUGGCGAGGCAUUCGGCCGCCAGCGUUUCUGCCAACGAUUUGGCGCAAAAGCAGCGGGAGGGAGCUGAGGCGGGCCGGCGCACCAAAAUUUUGGAGGCGAUCCAAACGGCCAACCGAAGCCUGGUCAACGACCGAUGUUUUGGCUGGGUUCGCUAUAGAGAAGUACCUCCAGAAGUGCAUUAA